UUUGAGUUUAUGUGUUGAUUUGAAUCUUGUGAAUCUCCUCGUUGGAAUUGAAAUCACCUCUCCUCACUGAAUCGCCGAUCGCUAGAUGUAUCCGCAAGGAAGGAUGUCUCAUCAUUUCAGAGAGAUGUGUGUUGGAGACCAUCUUGCUGUUAAGGGACCAAGGUUUGAGUGGGCGUGGCAGCAUCCGAGAGCGUGCAGUACGAGAAGCUGCUGCUGCUUUCAAGUCCUUCUCUGGACUUGCACGCAAGAUCAAGCUUGCAUACACAAUGCUAACUCUUCCAACUUG
Brassica oleracea var. oleracea is the source of this 286-nucleotide long non-coding RNA. RefSeq lists it as uncharacterized. The record is from RefSeq and is a predicted model, not a curated record. The transcript has 3 exons. NCBI's taxonomy places the organism in Eukaryota, Viridiplantae, Streptophyta, Magnoliopsida, Brassicales, Brassicaceae.